CCUACGGGAGGCAGCAGUGAGGAAUAUUGGACAAUGGAUGGAAAUCUGAUCCAGCCAUGCCGCGUGCAGGAAGACGGCCCUAUGGGUUGUAAACUGCUUUUGUAUGGGAGCAAUAAGGUCUAUGCGUAGACUGAUGAGAGUACCAUACGAAUAAGCAUCGGCUAACUCCGUGCCAGCAGCCGCGGUAAUACGGGGGAUGCAAGCGUUAUCCGGAUUUAUUGGGUUUAAAGGGUGCGUAGGCGGUUUGAUAAGUCAGCGGUGAAAUAUUUCAGCUUAACUGAAAGGGUGACGUUGAUACUGUCAGGCUUGAAUAUGGUUGCUGUGGGUGGAAUGUGUGGUGUAGCGGUGAGAUGCGUAGAGAUGUGGAGGAACACCAAUGGCGAAGGCAGCCCCCUGGGUCGAUACUGACGCUCAUGCACGAAAGCGUGGGGAGCAAACAGGAUUAGAUACCCUGGUAGUCCACACUGUAAACGAUGAUAACUCGCUGUCGGCGAUACACAGUCGGUAGCCAAGCGAAAGCGAUAAGUUAUCCACCUGGGGAGUACGACCGCAAGGUUGAAACUCAAAGGAAUUGACGGGGGCCCGCACAAGCGGAGGAACAUGUGGUUUAAUUCGAUGAUACGCGAGGAACCUUACCCGGGCUCGAACGGUGCAGGAAUACGUCAGAGAUGAUGUAGCUAGCAAUAGUCUGUAUCGAGGUGCUGCAUGGUUGUCGUCAGCUCGUGCCGUGAGGUGUCGGCUUAAGUGCCAUAACGAGCGCAACCCUUGUCGUUAGUUGCCAUCAGGUAAUGCUGGGAACUCUAGCGAGACUGCCACCGUAAGGUGUGAGGAAGGGGGGGAUGACGUCAAAUCAGCACGGCCCUUACGUCCGGGGCGACACACGUGUUACAAUGGUAGGUACAGAGGGCAGCUACCCGGCAAUGGGGUGCGAAUCUCAAAAGCCUAUCUCAGUUCGGAUCGGAGUCUGCAACUCGACUCCGUGAAGUUGGAUUCGCUAGUAAUCGCGCAUCAGCCAUGGCGCGG
This 1023-nucleotide ribosomal RNA is filed under the name uncultured bacterium. Its description in RNAcentral is "bacterial SSU rRNA". It matches the Rfam family "Bacterial small subunit ribosomal RNA", at positions 338 to 1362 of the family's 1533-position model. The record is from RNAcentral.